This 1498-nucleotide long non-coding RNA is filed under the name Canis lupus familiaris (dog). Its description in RNAcentral is "lncRNA (ENSCAFG00000056364.1)". The record is from RNAcentral. Lineage: Eukaryota; Metazoa; Chordata; Mammalia; Carnivora; Canidae.
AACUUUUAUUUAUUUUUAAAGAUUUUAUUUAUUUAUUCAUGAGAGAGAGAGAGAGAGACAGGGAGGGAGAGAGAGAGAGAGACAGAGAGGCACAGACACAGGCAGAGGGAGAAGCAGGCUCCGUGCAGGGAGCCUGACGUGGGACUCGAUCCUGAGUCUCCAGGAUCACGCCCUGGGCUGAAGGUGGCGCUAAAACGCUAAGCCACCCAGGCUGCCUGGGUACGGACUUUUACAGCAGCCUCCCCGCACUCAAAGGUGGCAGGUGGCAGGGCAAGCAGCUCAUUGCUGUCCAUCUCCUGCCUCUCCCCAUCAUGUCCCUCAGAACACAGUCUUUGGGUUUGUCAAGGGCCUGUUCUUGCCAGGCCCUAAGGUGGGUGGGCACUGCAGGGAUCAUGUCAGAGGACUAGGGAAGCAGACCCUUUCUGCAGGUCAACCACCCUCUGCUUGCACACCUCCAGGGACUAGGAGCUCACUACAACCCACACAGGCUAGGCCCACUUUACUCCCCUGCAGCCUUUCCCCUACCACCCUAAAUCCUAUCUCAAAUUCUGUCCAAGGGUGCAGCUCUUGGGCGACAGAUUCCAUCCUCUCGCCCCUUCCAUCUGUGGGCAUUCAAAAAGCCUUUUCACCUGCUCAGGCAUAGACCACACUCAGGCCUUUCCGACAGGCAGGUGAGGUGGUAUUUAUAACCAAGGAAUAAUUGGAUGUUAAUUCCUUUCUGCAGAAGAGUGACUGGAGUUUCAAUUUCUUCCUCUGCGAACUCUCAAGUGGGGCUAGCUGCAGCUGAGAGGCUAUGACUGACAUGCACGCACGGCCCAGGCUCACCCGCCCCCUCAGCCCCCACAGUGAUUCUUGUAAGGGCCUCAGAAGCCAUCAGCCCCCAACUCCCUUCCUCCCCAAUUCUACCACCAACCAGUGGCCAUCCUCACUUCAGGCGAGCAAGCCUCUUCCUGCCAGGUGUGGGAUUCCACAUUAUAAUCUAGCCUUGUCCAGGGGUGCCUGGCUGGCUCAGUAGGUAGUGUGUGACUCUUGAUCUCAGUGUUAUAUUCGAGCCCCACACUGGGUGUAGAGAUCACUUAAAAAAAAAAAAAAAAAGUCUUAAGAAAAAAGAAUCUAGCCUAGUCCUGUCAGUCUGGUCACUGGUCCUUAAGGCAGGAAGGAGCCGCUGAUACAUCACCCCAAAAACUUCAGAAGCACUACUUCCACACACGAAUGGCUGACAAGGCCCAGCUCUCAGACACACCAGUGAGCCCUGAGCACCACCCACCACCACCCCUCGCCCACCUCCAGCCUCCCUCCUCAACCCCUCCUCUCAGAUAAGCCACCUACUCAGACCUCCACCCUGCUGCUGACCUCAAGAGAGACUUUGGUCCACUGACAGGCAAUAACCCGGCUGAGUCUCUUGGCAAAGAUCCAUUUCCUAGGGGGAGGAAGAGUGUGAGCCCACGCCUGAUGAGCACCUGGGCUCCACACCCACUCCCACCACAGGUGAACUGUA